Molecule: ribosomal RNA, 468 nt
Filed under: Triticum aestivum (bread wheat)
Lineage: Eukaryota; Viridiplantae; Streptophyta; Magnoliopsida; Poales; Poaceae
Description: partial small subunit ribosomal RNA
Source: RNAcentral
AUGUAUCAUGAGCAGAACCUUGGUAGAGCCCAGGAUAAUGAGGCUCAUGGGAUAGAGGUUGCAAAACUGCAGAAGGAGCUUGAUUCUCUGGCCAAUCAGUAUAGCCAGCUGGUGGAUGAUGUGUCCAAGUUGUUUGAUUUUCAGGAUGGAAUCAAAUCUCAUGACAUGGAUUGCACAAGCCAGGCAAUCAAUGAACUGAAGGAGAAGAAGAAGCAACUUGAGGAGCAGGCAAAGAUUGAGCUUCAAAUGGAGAAGCUUAAACUCAAGAAAGAACAAAGGUGCAUCCUUCAGAGUCAAGCUGAUAUAAUCCAAAACACAAGGAAGGCCAUGAAGGAGCUAGAGGUGGAGAAAGAUCUCCUUAAAGAAGAGAAGAAGAAGCUGGAGAAUGUCAUUGCUGAGCUCCUUAAGGUUGGUCAUGGGUGCAAGGAAAAGCUGGACAAGAUAAAGGAAGUUGUGAUGGAGGAGUGA